GGACAUGAGGGUGAUCUGGUCAUGACAUGUCAACCCAUUGAUCGGGGGGUGACAGUGUCCCCCUCUUCACAGUCCUGGGUGUGUCCCUCCCAGAGCUGUGCACUCGGUGGGGGAGGACCACCUUCCCUGAUGGAGGAUGUUCUUUGGUCAAGCACAUUUGAGGAGCUGCCCUUCCCUGCUAGAGCCUCCAAACAAGCUCUCCAGGUCCAUUUGCAGGUAGAACACAGGGUAGUCAGGCUGCUAAGACCACCCCCCAACCCCAGACCCAAAUUGAAGUCCUG
Molecule: small nuclear RNA, 281 nt
Filed under: Mustela putorius furo (domestic ferret)
Lineage: Eukaryota; Metazoa; Chordata; Mammalia; Carnivora; Mustelidae
Description: 7SK RNA (ENSMPUG00000022329.1)
Rfam family: 7SK RNA
About the family: 7SK was discovered as an abundant small nuclear RNA in the mid-70s but a possible function has only recently been suggested. Two independent studies have found that 7SK RNA binds the CDK9/cyclin T complex (known as elongation factor P-TEFb).
Source: RNAcentral